AUGAGUGGACAUAUCCGAUGCUAAAUAGAUAUAGUUUCGGAUAUGAAUAUCAAAAACGAAAAUAUAAUAGAUUUGGAUUUGAAUAUGAAUUUUGAUUGUUCCUGAUCGGAAUUCGAACCCAAUCCGAACCCGAACUGAUUUUACAUUAUAUAAUUUAUACAUAAAUGUUUGAUGUUAUAUUUGAAUUUAUAUUUUAAAAAAUAUAAAUUUAAUCUAAUAUAUUUUUAAAUAUUGUAAAGAGAAAAAUUGUUUAAGUUCGGAUUUCAAAAUUAAUAGUCAAAUUCGAAUUCAAAUUUUUAAAGAUCUGCUCUCAAUCUGACCCGUUAACAUCCUACCAAACAAACAUCUUCACCACAAUUUGCUCGCUGUCACACCCCGCAUUAUACGUUCCCCGGGCACGCCGACAAAUCCACUGUAUACAAAAGAAUUUUCUCUGUAUACGAAGCGAUAGCUGUACCUAUAAAACAUACAAUACUACAAACAGUAGUAUAGAUACUACAAACAGUAGUAUAGAGCUGCCAGAAGAACCAGUAACUAAAAACAAACUGAGUUUCAUAUACAUACGUCAAAACCAAGAUACAAAACUACUCGCACUGGCGAAUUAAACAUCUGUAUGUACAUGAACUCCAGCCAAAAACAACUACCUGCUGUAGGGGCACCUCUA
RNAcentral lists this long non-coding RNA (664 nucleotides) under Ananas comosus (pineapple). RNAcentral describes it as "long non-coding RNA (ACOM_LNC031234)". Lineage: Eukaryota; Viridiplantae; Streptophyta; Magnoliopsida; Poales; Bromeliaceae. The record is from RNAcentral.